This 102-nucleotide small nuclear RNA is filed under the name Notamacropus eugenii (tammar wallaby). Lineage: Eukaryota; Metazoa; Chordata; Mammalia; Diprotodontia; Macropodidae. The record is from RNAcentral.
GCUCACUUUUGGUGCACAUGUGCUAAAAUUGGAAUGAUACAGAGAUUAGCAUGACCCCUGUUGAUGGAUGAUAUGCAAAUUCAUUAAGUAUUCCAUGUUUUU